Molecule: ribosomal RNA, 802 nt
Filed under: beta proteobacterium SCGC AAA043-J10
Lineage: Bacteria; Pseudomonadati; Pseudomonadota; Betaproteobacteria
Description: bacterial SSU rRNA
Rfam family: Bacterial small subunit ribosomal RNA
Source: RNAcentral
UCGAACGGCAGCACGGGAGCAAUCCUGGUGGCGAGUGGCGAACGGGUGAGUAAUAUAUCGGAACGUGCCCAGUCGUGGGGGAUAACGCAGCGAAAGCUGUGCUAAUACCGCAUACGAUCUAUGGAUGAAAGCGGGGGAUCGCAAGACCUCGCGCGAUUGGAGCGGCCGAUAUCAGAUUAGGUUGUUGGUGGGGUAAAAGCCCACCAAGCCGACGAUCUGUAGCUGGUCUGAGAGGACGACCAGCCACACUGGAACUGAGACACGGUCCAGACUCCUACGGGAGGCAGCAGUGGGGAAUUUUGGACAAUGGGCGCAAGCCUGAUCCAGCAAUGCCGCGUGCAGGAUGAAGGCCUUCGGGUUGUAAACUGCUUUUGUACGGAACGAAACGGUCCGCUCUAAUACAGCGGGCUAAUGACGGUACCGUAAGAAUAAGCACCGGCUAACUACGUGCCAGCAGCCGCGGUAAUACGUAGGGUGCGAGCGUUAAUCGGAAUUACUGGGCGUAAAGCGUGCGCAGGCGGUUAUAUAAGACAGAUGUGAAAUCCCCGGGCUCAACCUGGGACCUGCAUUUGUGACUGUAUAGCUAGAGUGCGGCAGAGGGGGAUGGAAUUCCGCGUGUAGCAGUGAAAUGCGUAGAUAUGCGGAGGAACACCGAUGGCGAAGGCAAUCCCCUGGGCCUGCACUGACGCUCAUGCACGAAAGCGUGGGGAGCAAACAGGAUUAGAUACCCUGGUAGUCCACGCCCUAAACGAUGUCAACUGGUUGUUGGGUCUUCACUGACUCAGUAACGAAGCCUAACCGC